AUUGAACGCUGGCGGCAUGCUUUACGCAUGCAAGUCGGACGGCAGCACAGAGAAGCUUGCUUCUUGGGUGGCGAGUGGCGAACGGGUGAGUAAUAUAUCGGAACGUACCGAGUAAUGGGGGAUAACUAAUCGAAAGAUUAGCUAAUACCGCAUAUUCUCUGAGGAGGAAAGCAGGGGACCUUCGGGCCUUGCGUUAUUCGAGCGGCCGAUAUCUGAUUAGCUAGUUGGUGGGGUAAAGGCCUACCAAGGCGACGAUCAGUAGCGGGUCUGAGAGGAUGAUCCGCCACACUGGGACUGAGACACGGCCCAGACUCCUACGGGAGGCAGCAGUGGGGAAUUUUGGACAAUGGGCGCAAGCCUGAUCCAGCCAUGCCGCGUGUCUGAAGAAGGGCUUCGGGUUGUAAAGGACUUUUGUCAGGGAAGAAAAGGCUGUUGCUAAUACCGACAGCUGAUGACGGUACCUGAAGAAUAAGCACCGGCUAACUACGUG
Molecule: ribosomal RNA, 490 nt
Filed under: uncultured bacterium
Lineage: Bacteria
Description: partial 16S ribosomal RNA
Rfam family: Bacterial small subunit ribosomal RNA
Source: RNAcentral